GUCAAACUAAAGGCGAGGAGGAGACGCGGCCGGGACGCGGUCUCCGGGCAGCUCGGGCCGGGCCGGGUUGGGCCGCAGGCGGCCUCGUGAGCCGGGGCGGCGGCUGCAGGCAGCGGGGUGCCGUGGGCGGGCAGGGCCGGGCGGGGCGAGGCGAGGCGGCCGCUCCUCGCCCUCUGGGCACGGCCGCCCCCCGCCGCAUCCCCUCACAGUGCUGGAGUGGGGUUCUGUGCUUUACGUGCCCCAGGGCAUGGCUCAAUCUAGCAAACCCUGGAGUGAAGCUGCUAUCAGCGUGUGGAGACUGAGUGCCACCGACAGCCUGUUGUCUGUUCGUGCUCAGAGAGUUAUGUGGAAGGACAGGAGUGACUCAGUAAUAGGAAGUAUUAGUUGCACUGAGGCAAAACCAGGUGAAGUUAUUACUUGGUUACUCUGUUACCUUGGGUCAUUGUUUUGCAUCAGUCCACUGUUUGCUUAUGAAUCAGAAAUAGUAGUGCUUUCCAAAAACAUACUGUGAAUAAACACUAAUGAGCUCAAAAUGCUUAUCAGCUGUAGUAAUAACAGGUAGAUGUGUUGUUUCUCUAUAGUGGCAUAGACAGUGCAGCCAGGAUUGUUUUGCUUGCAAGCUCUUCCUGUGGCAGUAACUUUGCACAGAAGUAGACUUUUGCUUCAAAAGACAUUUUAUAACUCAUGAUACUGUGUGAUAUGCAAUGUUAGAAACAUAGAAUCAUGGAAUGACUUAGGUUGGAAGGGACUUUAAGGGUUAUUGAAUUCCAACCCCCUCCUGCGGGCUGUGUUAAGUCAUAUUUCGUAUUUUUAUGCAGAAAGUUCUCUAAUACGCUUUUAAAUAACCGCCAUUCCACAGUGCAAAUAGUUUGGGGUUUUUUCUCCUGUGUUCUUAAAACAGCACCAGUACUGCUAAGGAAGCAGUGUCUGGUUGUCUCUGGGUGAGGUGAUAGACUGAGGCUUUUGAUAUGGAGUUGGAAGAGAGAAGUUCCAGUAUAUCUGCUCACAUCUUGGCGUGAUCAAGAAAUUACUUGGAACUGGUUUGUAACUCACUGUGCCACCACACAGCUAUACUUGCCAGGGUUGAGUAGUAUUGUUUACGAGGUGCUGUCUGGAGAUGCCUCUGUAUUUGCAAGAAAAUACUGAAGCAGGUGACAGUAAGUUCAUUACAACGAGCUGAGCAGUUUAGGAAACAGCAUUUUUAUUCUCACAUUAUAAGGUGAUCUACAUAGAAAAUCAAAUGCCUUAAGUAUGCCACUGGCAAGCACUUCAAUAGAGGAAUCUGAAAACUCCAUAGGAGUUGCCCGGAGUGGUUUGUGCCGCUCUCAAGAGCAGUGCUGCCACCACCAUAGCAGGUGAGCUGGAGCUGCUGCUCUCAGGAGUACUGAGCAGAGUUGGCUGAGUUUUCCUCUGCACUUUUGCUUUAUGCAAAUCAGAGCAGGUAGCUCGCUUGUCUGGUGUUCUUUGAGUUUGUUUUUGUUUAUUUUUUUGUUUUUCUGAUCUAUUCUAGAAAGAUACACCACAAAGAAGCACCAACUGCCUGGUAUCUUUAAGCUUUGCUUCUGAGAGUAUUUUGUUCUGUAGUUUAUCACUUGCCUGCUCAAGUUUGUUUGGAACUUCCAUACUGCUAAAUAGGACAACUGUUCUGUGUGAGGAGGAGGUGAGCACAACAGAAGACUUUUGUCUUCGGUUUUAACAACAAAACUGAAAGUUGCUCUGGCAAAAUGGCAAUUCAUUGUUAAUUCAUGAGAUGUAGGUGCUCUGGAAAAAUCAAAUACCAGUUUCAUAGCUACCCUUAGGCAUCUCUAAUUUAUGCAAGCAGGGCUUGCCAAGUAACUACUGAGUCUCACUGACCUUAGUAGGUUUGCAGAGGUCAUAUUUUAACACAGAUAAGUUAUGCUUGAACUAUUUUCUCAGUAGGUAUUAGGAGCAAGUGUUUGUGUACACAAUUACAUGCUUUUUGCCAAUCCUCCAUUACAUUUUCUGUUUUUCUUUAGAUUCUUGCUUGUAAGUUCUACAGUAAAUCCUAGAGUUUUUUUUUGUGUUUUUUCUUAAUCUGUUAUCUUAAGUAAGAAACGUGAGUUUUUGAGGACAGCUUCUUUUUUGGGGUCUCAGUAAAACAGAACAAACAAAGGUUUCAUAGACCGCCAGAAAGGCAGUUGUAGGAUCAGGGAAAGUCGGGGUAUGGGAAGCCAGAACAGCCCAAACGUGUGAGUGACAUCAGCAUUUUUCUGAGCCGUUUAUGCUGCUCACUUCUGUCGGUUCCCAGCAGUGCCUGUGUCUUAUGUAAGCUCGCACUGUACAUCCUGUCCUGCUGUUCUCAUGCAUGAAAAUCAUUGGUGUUAUCUUACUGUACGUUUUGAGAGCUGAGCAGUUACUGGCUACUUGUUGUCUCAAAUGUCUGCAUGCAAAUCUCUCACAAGCAUGCUGGAGAGAGCUAUGCCAAGAGCAUGGUGCUGUCCUCCUAGGAGACAUCAGAGGGGGAGUUCAAUAACUUGGGACAGCACUGAGCUGCUCUAUCUGGAGAACACCCUUCUAACCAUAAAGGGGAGCUGCUCUGUCUAAGAUUGAGUGUAAGACAUAAAUGAUCCUCCAAAGAAGCUUUUCUCAAAAAAAAAAAGAGCUUAUUUUCUGAAGACAACUUUGUCACUUGAACUAGAGAUGCUUCUUACCUUGACUGAAAAGGCAGACUAUGGGCACAAACUGGAAGACUCCUCAAGGUAAAACAGGAACAUGUCAUGUGGAGAUACCUGUAUCCUAUUUAAAAUGAUUUGUUUUAAUACUUUGUAGUAAAGUGUCUCCAGGACUCUACCCAUAGAUUAGCCAACCUGGUUUUGGUGCAGCUUUUUCCAGGGAAUAAGACUAAAAUUCCUUUCCUGUAGGAGAAACCAAAUUAGAGUUGAAUAGAGGAAGCUAUAAAAUCAGACCUAUUUACUGCAGGCAGCAAUAUUUGAGUUAAAUGUUAAACUCACUGAAUUAGUGUAAUCAACAUUUGACACCUCAGAAGAGGUAAUACUACUGUGGGAAUGAGGAAGGGCAUCAGCUAUUUGUGUGAUAUCAGACCUAAUAUGUAGCAUGUAUUCAUAUUUCUCCUUAAUUUGGAGAUCCAGGUAUUCAUCUUUCUCUUGUGGUCAGUGCAUGUUGCUGUAUCUCCUCUGCUGAAAAAGCAAAAAUUGCAGGGAAAAAAAAAUUCCAAAAAUAUAUGGCUAUACAUUAUACAGCAACAAUCUGUUAGAAGCCUAUUCUCAGAGAAGGCAAAAAUAUAGCUAAGGAUGCUAAUACUCUUCCUUCCUUUUUCUGUUCUGAUUGCAGGUAAGUCUACUGGUGGGGGUUUUUAUGAGGUGAGGGUAAUACAUUAUGACAAAUUGUUAGUGACAGAUGGAUUUUUUUUACUUAGCUUACUUCUAAAGCAAAAUGAUCUGGAUUAGCCACUUCCUGCCCCCCGAGGUGGCUGCACAACUUCUCAGGUUACCUAAAUUAAAGACUUAAUUUGACUCAGUAAGUUACUCUAUCAGGUUGAGAGCCAAGAAGGUGUUUUAUAAAUACAUGAUUUCUGCAUGCUGAGCAGUGUUGUUCAGUCAGAGGGAAGAGGAGAAUGGGGGGGGGGAGUCUUUAAUUGCUGCCUUCAGUUACCUAAUGGAUCAUGACAAGAAACCAGCUCUUUCUUGGUGUUGUGCAGCAAAAGGGUGAGAAGCACUGGGCACAAGAUGCAGCAAAGGAAAUUCCAGAUAGGUGUAAGGCAGAAGAAAAAAGUUAGACCUGUAGCUACACAGACGUGACUAGAUUGCUUGUAGAAGCUAUGAAAUAUCUUUGCUUGGGGAUGCUCAGAUUUUGAGCAGGGAGUUUGCUGUAGGUGAUUUCCAGAGAGCCUUCCAGAGGUCAUUUCCACUGUAAGAUGUUUUUGGUUUCCAUUUGGUGAUUAGUUCACGACUUUUCUUCACCGAGAAGGCUUAUCGUUCUGAGCUGUCUUUCUGAUCUUCGAUGGUAAUCACUUUUCAUGUCUCAUUUGUUAAAAUUAUGCUCACUAGAGUCAGAAAUGGUGUCUGUGGAGACAGUGCUUUUGUAAAGCAUGUAUUAACUGAAAGGUUCUGACUGCAUGUCUGUUUUACUGUAUUUGUCCAAGUAAAGACUUCCAAAAGUGAAACCAGCUUUGAAGGUUCUCUUACAGUGCUGUUUUUGGUGCUGUUUUUUCAACUUCAGUUAAUUUUAUGUAUUUACAGUUCACAGGACUAAUACUCAGCAGAAUAUUUUGGAGCAGAGUGAGCUAAGAAGUUGAAGACAGGUUGUAUUCUCUUUAAGAGAAAAAUUCUAGGGUGUGAACUUUGAUGCAGAUGUGCAACUUAAUGGUGUAUUCAAUUUCUGCCUACUGUUCCUUUGUUUUAAACUGCUUAUUUAAAAGCAUAAGAACACCCCUUCCUCUUUCUGUGUUUGACCCCCAGCAUUCUGCAUGCUCAGUAUACUCCAGCUAAUACUGAGAUUAUUUGGAUUGCAGGUGAAUGUCUGCUUUUUCAUGGGCUUUGGAGAAGGACAGUGAGCAGCCUUUGUAGUUGCUACUCCUGUAUAUUUUUGGGAAAUAAUGCAAGAAAUGAAUAGGGGCCAGUUUUGUCUUGCAUGCUGUGUCUGUUCUUGAGUUUGUUAGAUUGUAGUCAUUCUCUCUGAUGCAGUUCUAGAUUGAUGGUCAAUUAUUUUUACCUCGUAAACCUCCAUUCUUUGAAACGAGUGAAUCAUGGGCCAGAGUGUGUAGGACAGCUUUUUUCUUAUGCUUAGUCACAGGAGACUAAGCUUACAGUUUUAUUCUAACUUAGCUCCCCAAGAUAUGCAGAGCAACUGGGUGGAUGCUGUUCUUAAUUAUGAUCUGAACUUUAUUUUGGCUCGCACCAUCACUGUUUCAUUGUUUAUCUUCCUUUGGUAAGAUGAGAACAGUAUCUUAUGACAAAAACAUUUAGUUGUUUGGUUUUCUGUAAUGGUUAUGUAUGACAUUUGCAUCCUCACUGAAAUUUGGGCUUAGAUAUGUUAAUAGUGUACUGUUUUACACAUUCCCAUGCAUUCUUAAAAUAUGAGAUGCUUUUUUUGACAGCUCAAUUUAAAACUUUUUACUUCCUACACAGUGAAACUGUCAGUUUUAGUGUUUGCACAUAUGUAUAUAUUUAGUGUAUCCUUCUAGUAUUUGAAGAGAGCUUCUAAGCAGGAAGGGGAGUGACUUUUUACAUGGUCUGAUAGUGAUAGCUCAAGGGAGAAUGGCUUUAAACUAAAGGAGCGGAGAUUUAGGUUAGAUGUUGUGGAAAAAAAAUCCUUUCUCAGAGGAUGGUGAGGCACAGGAGCAGGAUGCCCACAGACAUUGUGGCUGCCCCAUCCUGGUGGUGUUCAAGGCUGAGUUGGAUGGGGCCCUGGGCAGCUUGAUCCAGUGAGUGGCAACCGUACGCGUGGCACAGAGUUGGAGCUUGGUUAUCUUUAAGGUUCCUUCCAAUGUAAGCCAUUCUGUGAUUAGUGAUUGUAAGAAGCAGAGCGUGUGGUUUCCUGAAAAUAUACAGGAAAUGCAGUUCUAAAACUACUUACAUAUGCUUCCUACUUCAUAAUUCAUUGUGCACUGUAAACUUCUAAUGCUAUAGCGAACUCUGUGGCUGUUAAAUGAUCAGACUGCCCUAUGUUAGGGCAGAUUGUAAUCUAUCUGAAUCACUGCGUGACAUUUAUGCUGUUGAAAUUGAAUUGGACUAUGUGAGAGCUGAAAGCUAUGGCACUUUAAAUUCAGCACUGAUUCAGACACUGUGUUUUACUCGGGGCAAAUAACUUAAUGUCUAAUACUCAGUUAUGUUCUGGUCAGUAGACGUGACUUAAAAUAAUUGGAGCAAUAGCAGGGAUCUGCUUUAACUUUCUUUUUCAGUUAGCUAUUUGUGCAUGAGAACUGAGACUUCUAAUUCACUGAGUAAUUGUAAUCAUGCUGAUCAUGGAAUGAGGAUAUCUUAAGAUAUGGGAAGAAAAUAAGCUCUGUGGGAAAUACAUAAGCUCUCUUUAGCUUCCUUGUUCCCCUGCAUCUUCCUUUCCCUUAUUGCUUUCCUUCUUCCCAUCUUGUUUAACUUUCUGAUCACAGUGCAGUCCAAGCUCAGUGUGACUGAUAAAAUAAUAUGUGGCACUUGGGAAAACUGCAGUACCUCUCUGUGACCUGUGUGGCUUGGGUUUGGAAACUGAAAGAGCACAAACUUCAGGUAUCACAGCAGUGCCCUUUUUGUUGGUGUUAAACCUCUUGGUGAAUCCCUUGUACUGACAGCUUAAGAGCCAGAUUGGUAAAUGUUGUGUGUCAGGAACAGUUUAUGUAGUUUAAAGAUUCACAUGGUUCUUCACAUUUUCUGUAUGAGGAAUUUGAAGGGGAAUUCACACUGCAAGAAAUGCUACAUUCAUUGUUGUUCUUCAGCAAAUACAGUUAACAGCAUUAAUGGAAGCCAGCAAUCAAUGUCCUUCUGUUUGCAGUGACGUUAGAAUAAGUCCUGGUUCUGUGCUUUUAAGCUUUAGCAGGGUUAGAGGACAGAACCUUUGACAAAAGCCGGAGUGUGGUGUCUUUUUGUAUUUGUUUGUAAGUGUUCAGGAGAAUAGCAGAAGAUGCUUAAUCUUCAGUUUUCAUAGAAGAACUUUUAUGGAAGUUCUAUCCUUCAAAAGCGUAGUUGCACGGAACUACACUGCAGAUAUAUUUUCUUAAUGUUUUUGGAUGGAGCUGAAAAUGUAACUCCUUUGUACAAACAUGAUCACACUGUUAGAUGUUGUGCUGGGGUUGGUAGCUGACAGUUUGAUAAAACAGCAAGAGACUUCACUGUCAUUUGUAUUGUUUUUUUUGUGAUGAUCUGAGUGUUAAAAUGAAGCUGGAGGGAGUGUCCUCUCUUUAGGCAGGUGACAUUGUGGUAACCUUCAUUACUUCCUUAAGAAGCAAGUGUUGAAGGAGAGCAGCACAAGAAAUGGUUCACUGCAGCAUAAUGCUUAGCAGCCUAAUUAGUCGAAUACCAUGUGCCUACCUCUGCAUGAAAUAACCCAUUUCUUCACAAGGUAAAAUAGGAAUUUUCAGUUUUGGAACAGCCUGAAGAGGCCUUUGUUGCAAAUGUCCGUUGGCUUUUUAACUAUUUAUUCUCAAAUAAUGAAGGUCAGCAUGGUAUCCAUAGAGACUGCAUGCAGCUUCCUCGUUAAUCUUGGC
This is a long non-coding RNA of Gallus gallus (chicken), 7177 nucleotides long. The record is from Ensembl. NCBI's taxonomy places the organism in Eukaryota, Metazoa, Chordata, Aves, Galliformes, Phasianidae.